GCUCCGUGGCCACAGGCUUAACUUCUGUUCGCAGGUUAACAUAUCUGCCAACGACCAAGGGAGCUCGGCGGAAACCCAGAAUCCUAGUGUUGAAGGAUGAAGAGAGAAGAGAGAAAUCUUUGGGGAUGCAUUUUAAAAAAGCGUUUAUUGGGCUGGAGAGAUGGCUCAGCGGUUAAGAGCACCCGACUGCUCUUCCAGAGGUCCUGAGUUCAAUUCCCAGCAACCACAUGGUGGCUCACAACCAUCUUUAAGGAGAUUCGAUUCCCUCUUCUGGUAUAUCUGAAGACAGCUACAGUGUACUUAUAUAUAAUAAAUGAAUAAAUAAAUCUUUAAAAAAAAAAAAGAAAA
Non-coding RNA from Rattus norvegicus (Norway rat), 348 nucleotides. NCBI's taxonomy places the organism in Eukaryota, Metazoa, Chordata, Mammalia, Rodentia, Muridae. The record is from RefSeq and is a predicted model, not a curated record.